GAGACAAGCAUAUGACUACUGGCAGGAUCAACCAGGUAGCGUUCCUUCGCGACGCCGACGCCCGCAUGACGCCCGACGGGCCGUGAGGCCGCGGGCUCAAGACGGGCACGGCAGUCGUUCGUUCGCGUCGAGGGACAAAAUGCGUUGCUCGGGCGAAACGGAGCCUGUAACAGGCCCCACGCCCGCGCGUAACGUUCCGCAUCCGAGAGAACGGGCGUAGCACACCAUGGGCCGAGGCAGCCACCAAGCGACUUGGCGAGGCUUGCCAGGAACACGGGGCGUGCCCGACGUCCACCCCGCAACCCGCGAGGGCUGGGGGCGGAGAGGGACGAACCAGACCGUCGGAUUCCUUUCGAUAGGUAAGCAACACAGGAUACCGAA
RNAcentral lists this unclassified non-coding RNA (381 nucleotides) under Commiphora ugogensis. RNAcentral's name for it is "partial external transcribed spacer". The record is from RNAcentral. Lineage: Eukaryota; Viridiplantae; Streptophyta; Magnoliopsida; Sapindales; Burseraceae.